CCCCCAUAAAAUCAAAAAGCAUCAUCAUUUUAAAUGAUGAAAGCAAUAGUGUUAACACUUAUUAUUUACGAGACAUAUUUCGUCUAAUAUAAGCAAACAAAGAUGUGUUUAUCGGAUUAGUGUUUACUGUUAUUGAUAGCAAUCUGCGAUUGUUACUAAACAAAAUGUAGUUUUUCAAGAAUGAUUGACAUAGUUUUAUUUACUCUGUGAAUGAAUUAUAUGAUAUUUCUAUAUGAAACUCUUUUUUUU
This 249-nucleotide long non-coding RNA is filed under the name Mytilus galloprovincialis (Mediterranean mussel). Lineage: Eukaryota; Metazoa; Mollusca; Bivalvia; Mytilida; Mytilidae. The record is from RNAcentral.